Calidris pugnax (ruff) is the source of this 1551-nucleotide long non-coding RNA. RefSeq lists it as uncharacterized. The record is from RefSeq and is a predicted model, not a curated record. The transcript is spliced from 2 exons. Lineage: Eukaryota; Metazoa; Chordata; Aves; Charadriiformes; Scolopacidae.
CAGGCUUUUUUUUUUUUUCUUUUCUCUUUUUAAAGGCUUUUUCCUGCGAAGGGUUGGACUGUGUGUAUCCUGUUAGAGCUGCGUGAAGCGAGUCCCAAGGCAGGAUCCCUAAUUUGGAAGCAUCAGGCUGGUGGGACCCCAUUGUGUUGUGAUUUGCCUGGCACAGUGACUGUUGCCCUGCAUGGUCUUGAGGACAAGACUGGGCAGAGGGAUGGCUUCUGCCAGCACCUGUGAAUGGUUCCAGUGGUGGUUUUCUAAAGAUUUUCUCCUUCUCCAUUCAUUGCAGAACAAAAAAAAAGAAAAACAUUUUAAGUACCUGCUUCUCCAGUAAUUGUUUCUGUGGCAGGAUGGAGCCUGCUUUUAAUUCUCCAGAAAACCUUAGUCACUGUACAGGAAGCCAGUACAAGUUUGCAAGGAAAAUCUGUCAAGUGUGAUGUGAUCAAAAUCUCAUUUAAAAUCGUUAACAAUCAAUUAUCUCCUUCACCACAGGUACUUGGAGAAAACGCUACAGCCUAAAAGAAUGAACGGACAGUUUUUGCACGCGUGUCCUGGUUCUCCAUGGAAAAGGGAGGCUUCACCCUUGGAUCACGUUAGCUGAUGGCAGGAGCAGCAGAAGUGUGGAUGGGUGUCUGAGGCAGCUCAGCUGCCCCCAGUACUCACAGGACGAUGGGCAUGAUGGUGAGGAACUUGCGGGACGCGGUGAACUGCACGCCGUAGUCCAUCUGCUCCCAGUGCGUCAGCAGCCGAGCCUUCCCCUGGUCCGGGGUCUCAAAGGGGGUUCCUUUGACGGUGUGCAGGAAGAUGUACAUGCUCUGUGGCAAACAGAAAGGCAGCCUGAGCUACAAGGGAGUGUUCUCUGCUAGCCCCUCGUGUCCAGCUUCAGCAGGAGCUUGCAGCAGCGCGCCGUUCCGCUAGAGGGAUGACGGUGGCUGCCGGGGAACGCGCUGGAAGUGGCAGAGAGAGCCAGGGAGGAAGGCCAGCCGCUAGCUCGGGCUCCCCUGUCAGGCAGGAGGCCUCUCGUAGGGCUCCUGGGCAUGAGCCAAGAAGAAGGUGGUUGCAAGAUUACAGCACGGGGGAUCUCUGCCAUCAGGAGAUUAGCACGGACGCGCUCUACCGUGCCGGAGCAGCCCUAAAGCCUCUCUAAAGAAGCUCUGGGAGAGCUGUAGGCAACGAGGCUGUUACUGCUCCGAUUAGGAGCGAACCUCUGGAAGUGGAAGACAAGUCACAGAUAAAAAGUAAGUGUCCAGCUACAUCAUGUGUGUUUAAGCAUGGUCACGGCUGGACUUUAAACUCCUUUCUGUUCCCAGGGCCUAAUUGUUUAAGCUGCCAGAGGAGGGGAAGGAGCUGCAUGAAAAGCAGGCAGCUCGGGAACUGGGCUCUGAGCAGCUCCAGUUGGUGGGUCUGUGAGUUGUGGGUUUUUUUCUAUUUUUACUUUUCACCCUGCUAGAGAUGUAAAUAACGUUAGCAUAAGGUCCCCAAUACAGAUGUCGUUUCUGUCUCUGGAAUAUUCUUAGCCUGAGGUGUUAUUUAAAAUAAAGGAUACAAAGGCAA